This 409-nucleotide ribosomal RNA is filed under the name Oscillatoria sp. TP68-2. RNAcentral describes it as "bacterial SSU rRNA". It matches the Rfam family "Bacterial small subunit ribosomal RNA", at positions 355 to 780 of the family's 1533-position model. The record is from RNAcentral. Lineage: Bacteria; Bacillati; Cyanobacteriota; Cyanophyceae; Oscillatoriales; Oscillatoriaceae.
UGGGGAAUUUUCCGCAAUGGGCGCAAGCCUGACGGAGCAAGACCGCGUGCGGGAGGACGGCCUAUUGGUUGUAAACCGCUUUUGAUAGGGAAGAAGCUCUGACGGUACCUAUCGAAUCAGCAUCGGCUAACUCCGUGCCAGCAGCCGCGGUAAUACGGAGGAUGCAAGCGUUAUCCGGAAUUAUUGGGCGUAAAGCGUCCGUAGGUGGUUGUUCAAGUCUGCUGUUAAAGCGUGCGGCUUAACCGCAUACCAGCAGUGGAAACUGGACGACUAGAGUGCGGUAGGGGUCAGGGGAAUUCCCAGUGUAGCGGUGAAAUGCGUAGAUAUUGGGAAGAACACCGGUGGCGAAAGCGCCUGACUGGACCUGCACUGACAUGAGGGACGAAAGCUAGGGGAGCGAAUGGGAUUA